Molecule: non-coding RNA, 116 nt
Filed under: Jiangella alkaliphila
Lineage: Bacteria; Bacillati; Actinomycetota; Actinomycetes; Jiangellales; Jiangellaceae
Description: SAM-I sequence
Rfam family: SAM riboswitch aptamer (S box leader)
About the family: The SAM riboswitch is found upstream of a number of genes which code for proteins involved in methionine or cysteine biosynthesis in Gram-positive bacteria.
Source: RNAcentral
UCCUCAUCCAGAGGAGCCGAGGGACCGGCCCGUCGAAGCUCCGGCAACCGUCCGCGCCGACCCGCGCGAUGACGGUGCCAAUUCCGGCCCGCUCACCCGAGCGGGAGAGAUGAGAA